UAAAAAACAGGGCACACCCAGGGAAACCUGGGGUCGCAAAGCCAUGGGUCUAAGCCGUUUUUGGUAGGAUUGCCAGGUUUCAUCA
This 85-nucleotide non-coding RNA is filed under the name Peptococcaceae bacterium. RNAcentral's name for it is "c-di-GMP sequence". It matches the Rfam family "c-di-GMP-I riboswitch aptamer". Rfam says of the family: GEMM was predicted in a large-scale screen for bacterial structured RNA regulatory elements. The record is from RNAcentral. Lineage: Bacteria; Bacillati; Bacillota; Clostridia; Eubacteriales; Peptococcaceae.